This 397-nucleotide ribosomal RNA is filed under the name uncultured bacterium. RNAcentral's name for it is "partial 16S ribosomal RNA". It matches the Rfam family "Bacterial small subunit ribosomal RNA", at positions 523 to 918 of the family's 1533-position model. The record is from RNAcentral.
AUACGUAGGUGGCAAGCGUUGUCCGGAAUUAUUGGGCGUAAAGCGCGCGCAGGUGGUUCCUUAAGUCUGAUGUGAAAGCCCCCGGCUCAACCGGGGAGGGUCAUUGGAAACUGGGGAACUUGAGUGCAGAAGAGGAUAGUGGAAUUCCAAGUGUAGCGGUGAAAUGCGUAGAGAUUUGGAGGAACACCAGUGGCGAAGGCGACUGUCUGGUCUGUAACUGACACUGAGGCGCUAAAGCGUGGGGAGCAAACAGGAUUAGAUACCCUGGUAGUCCACGCCGUAAACGAUGAGUGCUAAGUGUUGGGGGGUUUCCGCCCCUCAGUGCUGCAGCUAACGCAUUAAGCACUCCGCCUGGGGAGUACGGUCGCAAGACUGAAACUCAAAUGAAUUGACGGGG